Molecule: ribosomal RNA, 1954 nt
Filed under: Clostridioides difficile
Lineage: Bacteria; Bacillati; Bacillota; Clostridia; Peptostreptococcales; Peptostreptococcaceae
Description: bacterial LSU rRNA
Rfam family: Bacterial large subunit ribosomal RNA
Source: RNAcentral
UCAAGGUGAGAGAUACGGAGGUAGAGCACUGAAUGUCCUAGGGGGUAUUGCACCUACCGAAGACUAUCAAACUCCGAAUGCCGUCAUCUUAUACUUGGGAGUCAGACUGUGGGUGAUAAGAUUCAUAGUCGAAAGGGCAACAGCCCAGAUCGUCAGCUAAGGUCCCUAAAUGUAAGUUAAGUGGUAAAGGAUGUGGGAUUGCACAGACAACCAGGAUGUUGGCUUAGAAGCAGCCACUCAUUCAAAGAGUGCGUAAUAGCUCACUGGUCGAGUGAUCCUGCGCCGAAGAUUUCCGGGGCUAAAACUUACUACCGAAGCUACGGCAUCAGUAAUGAUGGGUAGGGGAGCUUCCCAUACGGGUUGAAGCAUGACCGUAAGGACAUGUGGACAGUAUGGGAGUGAGAAUGUUGGCAUGAGUAGCGAGAUGUGGGUGAGAAUCCCACAGGCCGUAAACCCAAGGUUUCCAGGGGAAGGUUCGUCCGCCCUGGGUUAGUCGGGACCUAAGCUGAGGCCGAAAGGCGUAGGUGAUGGACAACAGGUUGAUAUUCCUGUACUACCGAUAACCGUUUGAGAGAAGGGAUGACACAGUAGGAUAAGCUAAGCACACUGUUGGUUAUGUGUGCCCAAGCAUUGAGGCAGUCAAAGUAGGCAAAUCCGCUUUGAUAAUGCUGGGAUGUGAUGGGGAGCGAAAUUUAGUAGCGAAGUAGCUGAUUUCACACUGUCAAGAAAAGUCUCUAUCGAGGUUAAAGGUACCCGUACCGCAAACCGACACAGGUGGGUGAGGAGAGUAUCCUAAGGCCAGCGAGAGAACUGUUGUUAAGGAACUCGGCAAAAUGACCCCGUAACUUAGGGAUAAGGGGUGCCACCAUCAGGUGGCCGCAGAGAAUAGGCCCAAGCGACUGUUUACCAAAAACAUAGGUUUCUGCUAAGUCGCAAGACGAUGUAUAGGAGCUGACGCCUGCCCGGUGCUGGAAGGUUAAGGGGAUCUGUUAGAGCAAUCGAAGCAGUGAACUUAAGCCCCAGUAAACGGCGGCCGUAACUAUAACGGUCCUAAGGUAGCGAAAUUCCUUGUCGGGUAAGUUCCGACCCGCACGAAAGGCGUAACGAUUUGGGCACUGUCUCAACAACAGACUCGGUGAAAUUGUAAUUCCGGUGAAGAUGCCGGAUACCUGCGACAGGACGGAAAGACCCCAUGGAGCUUUACUGUAGCUUGACAUUGGGUCUUGGUACUACAUGUACAGGAUAGGUGGGAGGCUUUGAAACCAGGACGCCAGUUUUGGCGGAGCCAUCCUUGGGAUACCACCCUUGUAGUACUGGGACUCUAACCAUAGGCCAUGAAUCUGGUCUUGGGACACUGUCAGGCGGGCAGUUUGACUGGGGCGGUCGCCUCCCAAAAGGUAACGGAGGCGCUCAAAGGUUCUCUCAGUACGGUCGGAAAUCGUACGUAGAGUGUAAAGGCAAAAGAGAGCUUGAUUGCAAGACAUACAGGUCGAGCAAGGAUGAAAAUCGGACUUAGUGAUCCGGUGGUUCUGCGUGGAAGGGCCAUCGCUCAACGGAUAAAAGCUACCCUGGGGAUAACAGGCUUAUCUCCCCCAAGAGUCCACAUCGACGGGGAGGUUUGGCACCUCGAUGUCGGCUCAUCACAUCCUGGGGCUGUAGUAGGUCCCAAGGGUUGGGCUGUUCGCCCAUUAAAGUGGUACGCGAGCUGGGUUCAGAACGUCGUGAGACAGUUCGGUCCCUAUCCGUCGCAGGCGUAGGAAAUUUGAGAAGACCUGUCCUUAGUACGAGAGGACCGGGAUGGACGUACCUCUGGUGUACCAGUUGUCCUGCCAAGGGCAUGGCUGGGUAGCUAUGUACGGAAUGGAUAAGCGCUGAAAGCAUCUAAGCGCGAAGCCAACUUCAAGAUAAGAUUUCCCACCGCAAGGGUAAGACCCCAGAAAGACUAUCUGGUUGA